GACGAACGCUGGCGGCGUGCUUAACACAUGCAAGUCGAGCGGUAAGGCCCUUUCGGGGGUACACGAGCGGCGAACGGGUGAGUAACACGUGGGUGACCUGCCCUCAGCUCUGGGAUAAGCCUGGGAAACCGGGUCUAAUACUGGAUAUGACUCCAUGACGCAUGUUGUGGGGUGGAAAGCCUUGUGCGGCUGAGGAUGGGCCCGCGGCCUAUCAGCUUGUUGGUGGGGUGAUGGCCUACCAAGGCGACGACGGGUAGCCGGCCCGAGAGGGCGACCGGCCACACUGGGACUGAGACACGGCCCAGACUCCUACGGGAGGCAGCAGUGGGGAAUCUUGCGCAAUGGGCGAAAGCCUGACGCAGCGACGCCGCGUGAGGGAUGACGGCC
This 387-nucleotide ribosomal RNA is filed under the name uncultured bacterium. Its description in RNAcentral is "bacterial SSU rRNA". It matches the Rfam family "Bacterial small subunit ribosomal RNA", at positions 28 to 416 of the family's 1533-position model. The record is from RNAcentral.